This 492-nucleotide ribosomal RNA is filed under the name uncultured bacterium. Its description in RNAcentral is "partial 16S ribosomal RNA". It matches the Rfam family "Bacterial small subunit ribosomal RNA", at positions 29 to 507 of the family's 1533-position model. The record is from RNAcentral.
AGUGAACGCUGGCGGUAGGCCUAACACAUGCAAGUCGAACGGCAGCACAGUAAGAGCUUGCUCUUACGGGUGGCGAGUGGCGGACGGGUGAGGAAUACAUCGGAAUCUACUUUUUCGUGGGGGAUAACGUAGGGAAACUUACGCUAAUACCGCAUACGACCUACGGGUGAAAGCAGGGGAUCUUCGGACCUUGCGCGAUUGAAUGAGCCGAUGUCGGAUUAGCUAGUUGGCGGGGUAAAGGCCCACCAAGGCGACGAUCCGUAGCUGGUCUGAGAGGAUGAUCAGCCACACUGGAACUGAGACACGGUCCAGACUCCUACGGGAGUGAGCAGUGGGGAAUAUUGGACAAUGGGCGCAAGCCUGAUCCAGCCAUACCGCGUGGGUGAAGAAGGCCUUCGGGUUGUAAAGCCCUUUUGUUGGGAAAGAAAAGCAGCAGGUUAAUACCCCGCUGUUCUGACGGUACCCAAAGAAUAAGCACCGGCUAACUUCGUG